AAAUAAAAUUCAGUCAGAAAAAUGUUCAGUUUCAAAAAACAGUUUAGUUACAAAAAAAGAUUCAGUCACAAAUAAGGUUCAGUUACAAAAAUAUUCUGGUACAAAAAGGUUCAGUUACAAAAAAAUGGUUAAGUUACAAAAAAGUUUCAGUUACAAAAAAGUUUCAGUUACAAAAGCGGCUUAAUUACAAAAAGGUUCAGCUACAAAAACGGUUCAGUUCCAAAAAAGGCUCAGUCACAAAUAAGGUUGUUACAAGAAUAUUCAGUUACAAAAAUGUUCAGUUACAAAAAAUGGUUUAGUUACAAAUAAGGUUCUGUAUUUUUUUUU
Long non-coding RNA from Entelurus aequoreus (snake pipefish), 327 nucleotides. RefSeq lists it as uncharacterized. The transcript has 2 exons. NCBI's taxonomy places the organism in Eukaryota, Metazoa, Chordata, Actinopteri, Syngnathiformes, Syngnathidae. The record is from RefSeq and is a predicted model, not a curated record.